AAUAUCUUGGAUAUAAUGCAAAGUUACUCAAUUUACGAACAACCAGGAUUUAAUGGUAAGAUGACACAGAUGCUGGAAUUGUCAAACUAAGAUUUUAAAACAGUUAUUAUAAAAACACACUAAUAAAUGAGGGUAAACACUCUUGAAAUGAAUGAAAAGAUAGAGUCUCAACAACAAAAAAUAGAAGCUAUAUAGAAAAACUAGUGGAAUUUGUAGAACAGAAAAUAUAAUAACUCAAGUUAAAAAAAAAACAAACACCUUCACUGGAUAGGCUCAAUAGUAGAAUGUAGAUGAUGGAGGAAAUGGUCAACAGAAAUUAACCGAUUUGAAUAAUAGUACAAAGAUUGAAAAAAAAAUGUACAGAGACUCAGGAACCUCUGGGGCAAUGCCAAGGGCCUAAUAAUUGUGUCAUCAGAGUCUCAGAGGAAGAGGAGAAAGAACUCUAUGUUGAAAAAUAUUUGAAGAAAUAAUGGUUGAAAAUUUCCCCAAUUUGGUAAAAUCAAUGAAUCUUUAGAUUCAAGAAGAUAAAUAAACUCCAAAUAAGGUAAACUAAAAAAAAAAAUCCAUAAUCAGACACAGCAUCAUCAAACUACUAAAAACUAAAAACAAAACAAAACAAAACAACUCAAAAUCAGCUAGAGAAAAGCAAUAUUUGUAAGAGAAAAAUUAUUUUAAUGAUUGUGGAUUUCUCCUCAGAAACCACAGAGGCCAGAGGAAAGUGACACAGUAUUUUUGAAGUGCUGUAAAAAAAAGAACAGUUAACCUAGAAUUCUAUAUCCAGUAGAAGUGUUCUUCAGAAAUGAAGGUGACCUAAAGAUACUCUCAGAUGAAGAAAAAGUAAGAGAAUUCAUUGUCAGAAAAGCUGUUCUAAAACAUUGCAAUUUGGACAGAAGAAAAUAAUAAAGACACAAUAAUGAAAUUGAGAGUAAAAAAUAGAGAAAAUCAAUGAAACCAAAAGUUGUUCUUGGAAAUGAUUUAUAAAAUUGAUAAAUGUCUACCAAUAUUGACAAAGAAGGAAAAAGGAAUCCAAAAUGCAAUGUUAGGAAUGAAUAAAGGGUUAUUACUGCAAAGCAGUCAUUAAACAGAUAAUAAGGAGAUGCUAUGAACAGCUCUACCCUCAUUUGAUUUGACUACUUAGAUGCAAUGGAUUAAUUUCUUGCAGACUACAAAUGACCAAAUUCACCUAAGAUGAAAUAAAUAAAUUGUAUAGUCUUUUGAUAAUUAAAUAAAUUACAAUUUUAGUUGAAAACCUAUCAAACAAAGAAAUCUCCAUGGUUUCACUGGAGAAUUCUACCAAACACUAGAUAAGAAAUAACACCAAUUCUAUGCAAUCUCUUCUGGAAUAUAGAACACUUCCAAAUUCAUAUUGUGAAGCCAAAAUUAUCUAAUACCAAAAUCAGACAAAAGCAGUAUAAGAAAACUACAGGAGUUCCUGCUGUGACCCAACGGGAUUGGUGGUGCCAGGAUGCAGGUUUGAUCCCCAGUCCAACACAGUGGGUAUAAAGGAUCUGGCUUUGCACUGUCUGUGGCAUAGAUCAUGGCUCAGAUCUGUUCCCUGGCCCCUAGACUCCAUAUGCCAUGGGGUGGUCAAAACUGAAAGAAAAGAAAAUAGAAAACUACAGUUCAAUAUCUUUCAUAAACAAAGUCACAAACAUCCUCAACAAAAUAUUAGAAUAUUGAAACCAGUAAUGCUAACUGUAGUCAUUCCCAGAGCCCUAAAAAACCAGUGGCCACUUUCCCCACAUUACCCCUCAGGCUCUCUCUAACCAUAAAACCAAGUUGACAGUGUUACCCUGGAAUAAGCUUGUCCACACAUCUAGUGAUCCGAAUUGUAUGGCUGCCACCCAAGUGAAGGGACCCCAAAUCAUCUGGCUCUGAUAGCCAGUAGAACUUGCAUCCAUGAGCCCCAUAGUUGUAGAACAAACAAAGAAGUAGUUUUUAUUUUUAUUUUAUUUUAUUUAUUUUACUGUAAUUUUUAAAAGUAGUUUUAAAAUGGGUAAAGGAACACCCACUUGGGGCUAUAUAUACCUAGGCUCAGCACAGAGGGAGCAAGCAAAUAUGCCCAUCUUCCAGCUGCUGCCUGAGGGUCCAGCUUCUAAUUACCACACGUCGAGGUGCUGAUUGUGAUCCUCCCCUUUGGGACACUGAUGGGUCUUGGCACACCCUCAACUACUGGAAGCCACUAAGAACAAAGAUAGUGGCUUGGGCAAUCACAAAGGUUUGAUAUGCAACCAGAAGCCCAGUUGGGCCAAGCAGAUUGAUGAGGUUCAUCUCCUGUGUGAGACUAGUCUGUAUCAAGACUGGGAGAGGUGGCUGUUUUAUCGAAUGUGCAGAAACCAACAUAGAGAGUCAAGAAAAAUGAAGAAACAAGGGAAUAUGUUCCAACAAAAGAUAAGAUAAAUCUCCAGAAACUGACCUUAAUGAAAUGGAGAUAAGUGAUUUACCCAAAAGAGAGUUCAAAAUUGCAGUCGUUAAGAUGCUCUCUGAGGUCAGGAGAACAAUGCAUGAACAAAGUGAGGAUUUCAACAGAGACAGAAAAUAUUUUAAAAGUACCAAACAGAAAUUACAGACCUGAAUAGUACAAUAAUUGAAAUGGAAAAUUCAAUAGAGCAGUUUAAUAAAAAAUGAGAUCCAACAGAAGAAAGGAUUAGCACACUCAAAAAUAGAGAUGUGGAAUUCAUCCAAUCAGAGGAGAAAAAAGAAAAAAA
RNAcentral lists this long non-coding RNA (2708 nucleotides) under Sus scrofa (pig). Its description in RNAcentral is "lncRNA (ENSSSCG00030014210.1)". Lineage: Eukaryota; Metazoa; Chordata; Mammalia; Artiodactyla; Suidae. The record is from RNAcentral.